RNAcentral lists this ribosomal RNA (492 nucleotides) under uncultured bacterium. RNAcentral describes it as "partial 16S ribosomal RNA". It matches the Rfam family "Bacterial small subunit ribosomal RNA", at positions 28 to 507 of the family's 1533-position model. The record is from RNAcentral.
GAUGAACGCUAGCUACAGGCUUAACACAUGCAAGUCGAGGGGAAACGACAUCGAAAGCUUGCUUUUGAUGGGCGUCGACCGGCGCACGGGUGAGUAACGCGUAUCCAACCUGCCCAUCACUUGGGAAUAACCUUGCGAAAGUAAGACUAAUACCCAAUGAUAUCCCACGAAGGCAUCGGAAUGGGAUUAAAGAUUUAUCGGUGAUGGAUGGGGAUGCGUCUGAUUAGCUUGUUGGCGGGGUAACGGCCCACCAAGGCAACGAUCAGUAGGGGUUCUGAGAGGAACGUCCCCCACAUUGGAACUGAGACACGGUCCAAACUCCUACGGGAGGCAGCAGUGAGGAAUAUUGGUCAAUGGGCGAGAGCCUGAACCAGCCAAGUAGCGUGCAGGAAGACGGCCCUAUGGGUUGUAAACUGCUUUUAUAAGGGAAUAAAGUGGGUCACGUGUGACUUUUUGCAUGUACCUUAUGAAUAAGGACCGGCUAAUUCCGUG